RNAcentral lists this ribosomal RNA (210 nucleotides) under Triticum aestivum (bread wheat). RNAcentral's name for it is "partial small subunit ribosomal RNA". The record is from RNAcentral. Lineage: Eukaryota; Viridiplantae; Streptophyta; Magnoliopsida; Poales; Poaceae.
AUUUUGCGGAUCUAUGGGGAAGCAUCGGGCCAGUGCGUAAAUCGGGACAAAAGUGCAAUAUAUUUCAGCCCGAAUACCUCACAAACAUUCAGGCAAGCUUUGAAAGGGAUUCUUGGAGUGCAUGCUGAAACCUUCAGCGAGAGAUAUCUUGGACUCCCAACAGCUGUUGGAAAGAUCACAAGCGGCACCUUUGAGCAUAUUGGGGAUCGA